RNAcentral lists this ribosomal RNA (457 nucleotides) under uncultured bacterium. RNAcentral describes it as "bacterial SSU rRNA". It matches the Rfam family "Bacterial small subunit ribosomal RNA", at positions 340 to 786 of the family's 1533-position model. The record is from RNAcentral.
UACGGAAGGCAGCAGUGGGGAAUAUUGCACAAUGGGCGAAAGCCUGAUGCAGCUAUGCCGCGUGUAUGAAGAAGGCCUUAGGGUUGUAAAGUACUUUCAUCGGGGAGGAAAAACAAAACUAAUAAUUUUAUUUCUUGACGUUACCCGAAAAAGAAGCACCGGCUAACUCCGUGCCAGCAGCCGCGGUAAUACGGAGGGUGCUAGCGUUAAUCAGAAUUACUGGGCGUAAAGAGCACGUAGGUGGUUUUUUUAAGUCAGAUGUGAAAUCCCUGGGCUUAACCUGGAAACUGCAUUUUGAAACUGAAAUACUAGAGUAUCGUAGAGGGAGGUAGAAUUCUAGGUGUAGCGGUGAAAUGCGUAGAUAUCUGGAGGAAUACCUGUGGCGAAAGCGGCCUCCUAAACGAAUACUGACACUGAGGUGCGAAAAGCGUGGGGAGCAAAACAGGGAUUAGAUACC